UGUUUAACUCCGCCUGUAGCCCAUGCGGAGGCUACUGCCGGUCCCAAGCCCGGAUAAAGGAGGAGGGUUGGCA
RNAcentral lists this non-coding RNA (73 nucleotides) under Schistosoma mansoni. The record is from RNAcentral. Lineage: Eukaryota; Metazoa; Platyhelminthes; Trematoda; Strigeidida; Schistosomatidae.